AGCGAACGCUGGCGGCAGGCCUAACACAUGCAAGUCGAGCGCCCAGCAAUGGGAGCGGCAGACGGGUGAGUAACGCGAGGGGAUGUGCCCAAUGGUGCGGAAUAACCCAGGGAAACUUGGAUUAAUACCGCAUGUGCCCUUCGGGGGAAAGAUUUAUCGCCAUGGGAUCAACCCGCGUCUGAUUAGCUAGUUGGUGAGGUAAAGGCUCACCAAGGCGACGAUCAGUAGCUGGUCUGAGAGGAUGAGCAGCCACACUGGGACUGAGACACGGCCCAGACUCCUACGGGAGGCAGCAGUGGGGAAUAUUGGACAAUGGGCGCAAGCCUGAUCCAGCCAUGCCGCGUGAGUGAUGAAGGCCUUAGGGUUGUAAAGCUCUUUCGCCGGUGAAGAUAAUGACGGUAACCGGAGAAGAAGCCCUGGCUAACUUCGUGCCAGUCGCCGCAGUAA
RNAcentral lists this ribosomal RNA (447 nucleotides) under uncultured bacterium. Its description in RNAcentral is "partial 16S ribosomal RNA". It matches the Rfam family "Bacterial small subunit ribosomal RNA", at positions 29 to 523 of the family's 1533-position model. The record is from RNAcentral.